CGCUAAUGUACCCCGGAGUCUGGGAUAGCUGCCCGAAAGGGCAGGUAAUACCGGAUGACAUCCCCUUAUCGCAUGAUGAGGGUCUCAAAGGAGCAAUCCGCUCUGGGAGCAGGCGAUAUCGUAUCAGGUAGUUGGUGGGGUAACGGCCCACCAAGCCGACGAUCAGUAACUGGUGUGAGAGCACGACCAGUCACACGGGCACUGAGACACGGGCCCG
RNAcentral lists this ribosomal RNA (217 nucleotides) under uncultured bacterium. RNAcentral's name for it is "partial 16S ribosomal RNA". It matches the Rfam family "Bacterial small subunit ribosomal RNA", at positions 119 to 334 of the family's 1533-position model. The record is from RNAcentral.